Molecule: ribosomal RNA, 468 nt
Filed under: Babesia cf. odocoilei
Lineage: Eukaryota; Apicomplexa; Aconoidasida; Piroplasmida; Babesiidae
Description: SSU rRNA
Rfam family: Eukaryotic small subunit ribosomal RNA
Source: RNAcentral
UGACCUAAACCCUCACCAGAGUAACAAUUGGAGGGCAAGUCUGGUGCCAGCAGCCGCGGUAAUUCCAGCUCCAAUAGCGUAUAUUAAACUUGUUGCAGUUAAAAAGCUCGUAGUUGAAUUUUUGCGUCACCGUGUAUCGACAUUUGUCGUUUAUCGGUUUCGCUUUUGGGAUUUAUCCCUUUUUACUUUGAGAAAAUUAGAGUGUUUCAAGCAGACUUUUGUCUUGAAUACUUCAGCAUGGAAUAAUAGAGUAGGACUUUGGUUCUAUUUUGUUGGUUUGUGAACCUUAGUAAUGGUUAAUAGGAACGGUUGGGGGCAUUCGUAUUUAACUGUCAGAGGUGAAAUUCUUAGAUUUGUUAAAGACGAACUACUGCGAAAGCAUUUGCCAAGGACGUUUUCAUUAAUCAAGAACGAAAGUUAGGGGAUCGAAGACGAUCAGAUACCGUCGUAGUCCUAACCAUAAACUAA